UACGGAGGGUGCAAGCGUUAUCCGGAUUUACUGGGCUUAAAGGGUGCGUAGGCGGGUUGGUAAGUCAGCGGUGAAAUCCCCGAGCUUAACUUGGGAACUGCCAUUGAUACUAUCAGUCUUGAAUACCGUGGAGGUCAGCGGAAUAUGUCAUGUAGCGGUGAAAUGCUUAGAUAUGACAUAGAACACCAAUUGCGAAGGCAGCUGGCUACACGAAUAUUGACACUCAGGCACGAAAGCGUGGGGAUCAAACAGG
RNAcentral lists this ribosomal RNA (253 nucleotides) under uncultured bacterium. Its description in RNAcentral is "partial 16S ribosomal RNA". It matches the Rfam family "Bacterial small subunit ribosomal RNA", at positions 524 to 776 of the family's 1533-position model. The record is from RNAcentral.